Argentina anserina (silverweed cinquefoil) is the source of this 1045-nucleotide long non-coding RNA. RefSeq lists it as uncharacterized. NCBI's taxonomy places the organism in Eukaryota, Viridiplantae, Streptophyta, Magnoliopsida, Rosales, Rosaceae. The transcript has 4 exons. The record is from RefSeq and is a predicted model, not a curated record.
UUGACUGUCGUCGUUCCGGCGAGACUAGGGCAUGCACAACCACCAUCUUGACCGCCUCUUCUUCCCCUUCACAACCAUGUGUCUUGAUCGUCUUUUCACCAUUGGUUUUGGUGAAAUCGAACCAAAAGCAGUGAGACUCCUUUGGAGAUUUUCCGGUGAUUCCAUGACUUCCGAUGAGCUCUUGGCCUCCUUUUCGGUAAGACUAAGCUUCUAUCUUAAUUCCCAAUCAAUUCCACCUUUUGUUUCGUCGAAUUGAAGUUUAACCCAAUUUCAAUUUUUCUGGGUUGUAACCACUGUCGCAUCACCAUCAUCGAGCUACCUUUCCGGCGAGUUUUGGAACUCCAACGAGCACAGUCUAUCAUCGGAGGUAAACCCACUGUUUCUUUAAAUCCCCAAGCUCGGUUCUUUAUUAAAGUGUUGGAAACAAAUCCCAAAAUUUUCCACCUUUUUCUUCUGUUUUGCAAAUUAUUGAGCUCUUUCGAUUUUUACUUCACCAUUGACGAGAGUCAUUGAUUUCUACAUGUCGGAAUGGGCUUGGAGGUUCAACAGCUGGGAAUUUAGGAUAGUAACAAUGAAGAUGGAGGACUGCAGCAGCUCGGAUUAAGGACAAUGACUUGAGGAGAGUUGAUGCUACGAGAUCAAGCAGUGGAGCAACAACAACAGCUAAUUCUAUUGAUUUGGAUAACUGCUGAGAUUCUACAUGUCAUUCCAGCUAUGAGAGGAGCUUCAGGGACGUGAUCCUACUCGGAGCGAGACUUGGGGCACGGACUUCGGCACUGCUAUAUCAGGUACCUGGCAGACAGUUCGCGAGGACUUCGAUUAGGUGCUAGUGUCGUUGCAUCACUCGUGGUUCACUUUCGAUACCGAUGAGCCAGCUUUCGGUGUGAUUUCUUAUUUACCCGAUCUUCGUUUAUACUUCAACAACUGCACGACACGUACUCUGUUACUUUUCAUUUCAGUUAUGCGGUUAUUUCUUUUGGCCCGUAUAUAUUAUGAUAACGCAUUUUUCUCAUGUCAUACUUGAACUUUAAUUUUAUUUACUACC